GUGGAUCACUCGGCUCGUGGAUCGAUAAAGAACGCAGCUAGCUGCGAUAAUUAGUGCGAAGUGCAGAAACUUUGAGCACAAAUAUUUCGAAUGCAUAUUGCGCCUUUGGAGUCAAAUCCAUUGGCACGGCUGGUUCAGGGUCAUUUAUAUAA
This 152-nucleotide ribosomal RNA is filed under the name Meloidogyne mali. RNAcentral's name for it is "5.8S ribosomal RNA". It matches the Rfam family "5.8S ribosomal RNA". Rfam says of the family: 5.8S ribosomal RNA (5.8S rRNA) is a component of the large subunit of the eukaryotic ribosome. It is transcribed by RNA polymerase I as part of the 45S precursor that also contains 18S and 28S rRNA. Lineage: Eukaryota; Metazoa; Nematoda; Chromadorea; Rhabditida; Meloidogynidae. The record is from RNAcentral.